RNAcentral lists this transfer RNA (74 nucleotides) under Planotetraspora kaengkrachanensis. RNAcentral describes it as "tRNA-Thr". Lineage: Bacteria; Bacillati; Actinomycetota; Actinomycetes; Streptosporangiales; Streptosporangiaceae. The record is from RNAcentral.
GGGUCGUCUGGCCGGACGGGCCCGACGGCCCGGGCUCGUCGUCCGGGUCGCUCGGUUCGGACCGGCUCGACGCG